This 505-nucleotide ribosomal RNA is filed under the name uncultured bacterium. Its description in RNAcentral is "SSU rRNA". It matches the Rfam family "Bacterial small subunit ribosomal RNA", at positions 26 to 517 of the family's 1533-position model. The record is from RNAcentral.
AGGACGAACGCUGGCGGCGUGCCUAACACAUGCAAGUGGAGCGACGAACCAGGCUUCGGCCUGGGGCAGAGCCGCGAACGGGUGAGUAACACGUGGGUAACCUGCCCUGAUGAUUGGGACAACCCGAGGAAACUCGGGCUAAUACCGAAUGUGCCCUCCGGCCUCAAGGCCGUUGGGGAAAGGAAGCUUCGGCCUCCGCAUCGGGAUGGGCCCGCGGCCCAUUAGCUUGUUGGUGAGGUAACGGCUCACCAAGGCAACGAUGGGUAGCUGGUCUGAGAGGACGAUCAGCCACACUGGGACUGAGACACGGCCCAGACUCCUACGGGAGGCAGCAGUGGGGAAUCUUGCGCAAUGCGCGAAAGCGUGACGCAGCAACGCCGCGUGGGGGAAGAAGGCUUUCGGGUUGUAAACCCCUUUCAGCUGGGACGAAGCUUCUUCGGUGAAUAGCCGAACGGAGUGACGGUACCUUCACAAGAAGCACCGGCUAACUACGUGCCAGCAGCCG